GACGAACGCUGGCGGCGUGCUUAACACAUGCAAGUCGAACGGAAAGGCCUCUUUCGGGGGGUACUCGAGUGGCGAACGGGUGAGUAACACGUGAGUAACCUGCCCUUGACUUUGGGAUAACUUCAGGAAACUGGGGCUAAUACCGGAUAGGAGCUCCUGCUGCAUGGUGGGGGUUGGAAAGUUUCGGCGGUUGGGGAUGGACUCGCGGCUUAUCAGCUUGUUGGUGGGGUAGUGGCUUACCAAGGCUUUGACGGGUAGCCGGCCUGAGAGGGUGACCGGCCACAUUGGGACUGAGAUACGGCCCAGACUCCUACGGGAGGCAGCAGUGGGGAAGAUUGCACAAUGGGUGGAAGCCUGAUGCAGCAACGCCGUGUGCGGGAGGACGGCCUUCGGGUUGGAAACCGCUUUCGCUCAUGACGAAGCUUUGUGUGACGGUAGUGGGUAAAGAAGCACCGGCUAACUACGUG
RNAcentral lists this ribosomal RNA (467 nucleotides) under uncultured bacterium. RNAcentral's name for it is "partial 16S ribosomal RNA". It matches the Rfam family "Bacterial small subunit ribosomal RNA", at positions 28 to 507 of the family's 1533-position model. The record is from RNAcentral.